GGGGCUGACCGGUAUUGACGGGGUGAUUGAUUGGCAUGUAAGCAUGUAGUGCUUUGGACAGUUGGCACUUGAAUCUCAAUUUCCACAACUAUAGUUGGCGAAACUCAAUUCGCAAUGGCUGCCUAAUCAGGACGAUUACGCGAUGCCUUCGGUUCGGAUGUGUAUCUCUUAUCGCAUAUCCACUAGAACCGUCAUUAGAUAGGGGCGUUUGUUGGUAAGCCGCGGGCUAUCAAACGUACACAGCGGAUAUAGGUUAAGUUGGCAAGGAAAGCAGCCUGCCUAACCCGAACACAAUGCUUUCUCUAAACAUGUAGAAAGCGUGACCAUUGCACUUCCGGACCAGGGUUCGAAUCCCUGCAGCUCCACUA
RNAcentral lists this transfer-messenger RNA (368 nucleotides) under Bacteroidia. Its description in RNAcentral is "B1 sp002256395 Standard tmRNA". It matches the Rfam family "transfer-messenger RNA". Rfam says of the family: Bacterial tmRNA, also known as 10Sa RNA or SsrA, is named for its dual tRNA and mRNA-like properties. Its role is to liberate the mRNA from a stalled ribosome. To accomplish this part of the tmRNA is used as a reading frame that ends in a translation stop signal. The record is from RNAcentral. Lineage: Bacteria; Pseudomonadati; Bacteroidota. RNAcentral also lists the same sequence under 1 other name.